CCACUGCUAUAGCUGCCAUAGAAGAAAAACAUCAAAAAACUCAGCUAAAAUACUCAUCAACGACAUCAAACAGAGUAAAAAUUAAAACUUUGCGAUUCAUUUACGUACAAUGUAAAACCUUGAAUUGAUGAAAGCAAUGAAACCCCCAAAAAAUCACGUCAAAUUUUAAAACCCUGAACCCAUUUGAAGGAAACGUGAAAGAAACAGAAACCCAAAACUCAUACUCAAGAAGAGAAGACAUUACAAUUCCCAAAAACUCUCAACGAAACUCAAAUUCAAACAACAGAAGAAGAGAAGAAAUUACCAGUGAUGAAAAAGAAGAGUAAG
Molecule: long non-coding RNA, 327 nt
Organism: Arabidopsis thaliana (thale cress)
Lineage: Eukaryota; Viridiplantae; Streptophyta; Magnoliopsida; Brassicales; Brassicaceae
Product: other RNA
Exons: 1
Source: RefSeq